Molecule: ribosomal RNA, 254 nt
Filed under: uncultured bacterium
Lineage: Bacteria
Description: partial 16S ribosomal RNA
Rfam family: Bacterial small subunit ribosomal RNA
Source: RNAcentral
UACGUAGGGUGCAAGCGUUGUCCGGAAUUAUUGGGCGUAAAGAGCUCGUAGGCGGUCUGUCACGUCGGCUGUGAAAACCCGAGGCUCAACCUCGGGCCUGCAGUCGAUACGGGCAAACUAGAGUACUGCAGGGGAGACUGGAAUUCCUGGUGUAGCGGUGAAAUGCGCAGAUAUCUGGAGGAACACCGGUGGCGAAGGCGGCGUCCUGGACCAACACUGACACUGAGUGAGCGAAAGCCAGGGGAGCAAACGGG